CAGGCUUAACACAUGCAAGUCGAGGGGCAGCAUGGUCUUAGCUUGCUAAGGCCGAUGGCGACCGGCGCACGGGUGAGUAACACGUAUCCAACCUGCCGUCUACUCUUGGACAGCCUUCUGAAAGGAAGAUUAAUACAAGAUGGCAUCAUGAGUCCGCAUGUUCACAUGAUUAAAGGUAUUCCGGUAGACGAUGGGGAUGCGUUCCAUUAGAUAGUAGGCGGGGUAACGGCCCACCUAGUCUUCGAUGGAUAGGGGUUCUGAGAGGAAGGUCCCCCACAUUGGAACUGAGACACGGUCCAAACUCCUACGGGAGGCAGCAGUGAGGAAUAUUGGUCAAUGGGCGAGAGCCUGAACCAGCCAAGUAGCGUGAAGGAUGACUGCCCUAUGGGUUGUAAACUUCUUUUAUAAAGGAAUAAAGUCGGGUAUGGAUACCCGUUUGCAUGUACUUUAUGAAUAAGGAUCGGCUAACUCCGUGCCAGCAGCCGCGGUAAUACGGAGGAUCCGAGCGUUAUCCGGAUUUAUUGGGUUUAAAGGGAGCGUAGAUGGAUGUUUAAGUCAGUUGUGAAAGUUUGCGGCUCAACCGUAAAAUUGCAGUUGAUACUGGAUAUCUUGAGUGCAGUUGAGGCAGGCGGAAUUCGUGGUGUAGCGGUGAAAUGCUUAGAUAUCACGAAGAACUCCGAUUGCGAAGGCAGCCUGCUAAGCUGCAACUGACAUUGAGGCUCGAAAGUGUGGGUAUCAAACAGGAUUAGAUACCCUGGUAGUCCACACGGUAAACGAUGAAUACUCGCUGUUUGCGAUAUACUGCAAGCGGCCAAGCGAAAGCGUUAAGUAUUCCACCUGGGGAGUACGCCGGCAACGGUGAAACUCAAAGGAAUUGACGGGGGCCCGCACAAGCGGAGGAACAUGUGGUUUAAUUCGAUGAUACGCGAGGAACCUUACCCGGGCUUAAAUUGCAGAUGAAUUACGGUGAAAGCCGUAAGCCGCAAGGCAUCUGUGAAGGUGCUGCAUGGUUGUCGUCAGCUCGUGCCGUGAGGUGUCGGCUUAAGUGCCAUAACGAGCGCAACCCUUGUUGUCAGUUACUAACAGGUUCCGCUGAGGACUCUGACAAGACUGCCAUCGUAAGAUGUGAGGAAGGUGGGGAUGACGUCAAAUCAGCACGGCCCUUACGUCCGGGGCUACACACGUGUUACAAUGGGGGGUACAGAGGGCCGCUACCACGCGAGUGGAUGCCAAUCCCCAAAACCUCUCUCAGUUCGGACUGGAGUCUGCAACCCGACUCCACGAAGCUGGAUUCGCUAGUAAUCGCGCAUCAGCCACGGCGCGGUGAAUACGUUCCCGGGCCUUGUACACACCGCCCGUCAAGCCAUGGGAGCCGGGGGUACCUGAAGUGCGUAACCGCGAGGAGCGCCCUAGGGUAAAACUGGUGACUGGGGCUAA
Molecule: ribosomal RNA, 1437 nt
Filed under: uncultured organism
Description: 16S ribosomal RNA
Rfam family: Bacterial small subunit ribosomal RNA
Source: RNAcentral